Molecule: long non-coding RNA, 200 nt
Organism: Etheostoma cragini (Arkansas darter)
Lineage: Eukaryota; Metazoa; Chordata; Actinopteri; Perciformes; Percidae
Exons: 3
Source: RefSeq, a predicted model, not a curated record
AACCGUGAGUCCAAUCUGCACGAAAACUUGGAUAUAGACUCAAUGGAUCCUCGUGACAAAAAGCUAUUAAAAGAAUUUUGAUAUCUAAAACAAUGUGCAAGUUAUAGAGGACCAACUUCCUGUAGAUGGCUGUUGAAACAGGAAUCGUUGCAUCUUGGCAAAAGUUAUUCUAAUGGACAAUAAAAUUAAAGUGAUGACUU